Molecule: long non-coding RNA, 1859 nt
Filed under: Equus caballus (horse)
Lineage: Eukaryota; Metazoa; Chordata; Mammalia; Perissodactyla; Equidae
Description: lncRNA (ENSECAG00000046996.1)
Source: RNAcentral
UGGAGCAGGGCAGAAUUAGGCGUUCUACCAUCCUGGGAGUCCUUGCAGUAAUCGCGGCAGCAAUCCACACAGCUGCUCCUCCUCUAAUCCUCGCUGCAGCCCAGUGACAGCUCAGGUGCAAGGAACGAAGACUUAAUCAGACUGGUGUGGCAGCUGGCCUGACUUAGAAAUCUCAUACCCAUCAGGAGCCAGUAUUUCUUGUAACAACUUCACCGGCUUAGCUUCCAGGAGCCCCAGCAGAGCCCAGUUAAAGCCUUCACCCUCAGGGAAGCCCAAGGCCAUCAGGUCUCUAUAGUGCGCCAGGCCAGACGCAAUUUACCAGCCACGUGAUUGCUUUCAUCUAAAUACGUUUGCCUGACGACAUAGUUGACAUUCUAUAUUACGUUUCAGAGAAACAGAUAAGAAAGUAAACUGAAGGUCAAAUUGUCAUGCAGUAGAGUAAUUACAUUCCAUUUUAAAGAUAAUAUAAUUUACAGUGAGAUUUAAAGAACCACAAAUACAUAGGCUACCUUCUUCUACUACAAGCUUUACAAAGCCUUUCAUUGUCCAUGAGGCAACUUGGUGUGAAUUAGAAAAAGACACCAAACUCAAGGCUUGAAGAAUGGAUGCCAACUCUACAAUUCAUCUGGAAGAGCUGUUGAGGAAGGACGCCCAGAUUUGGAAAAGAAGAGCAAAGGAAGCAACAUGCAUUUUUAAUAUCCAUGAGGGAAAAAAAACCCUUGGGAUUCGCAUUGGGAUUGUGUUAAAUAUACAGAUUAAUUUGGAGGGAAUUGACAUUUUGUUUAACACUGGAUCUCUUUUAUAUGAUCAUAGAACUUAUCUAUUCAUAUUUUCUUUUUUGCCCUUUAAUAAAGUUUCAGAGUUUUCUUCAUGUAGAGCUUACACAUUUCUUACGUUUACCUCCAGAUGUUUCUUAGGUUUGGCUGCUGUUGUGAAUAGAGUUUUUUUCUAUUUUUCAAAGCUGUUGAUUUAUUCCAUGUUAAUCUUUAAUCCACUCAUUUCACUGAUCUCUCGUACUAGUUCUAAUGGCUUUUACUUGAGAUAAAUUCCACACAUAUAUUAAAUAUAUAAUGCAAUCAGUUUUGAUAAAUCUAUACACUUGUGAAACAAGACCCUCUCAAGAUAGUUCUAAUAGUUAUCUUUUAAAGAAGAUUUUCUAGGAUUUCUUAAACUGUAAUAUAUUGUCAGCUAAUAAUGACAGUUUUCUUUCUUCUUUUCUAAUAUAACUCAUUUAUGUUUCUUAUUGAAUUUCAUCGCCUGAGACCUCCAGUCCAAUGGUAAUUGUAGUAGGAAUAGCUAGUAUCCUCGUAUUUUUAUGGGAAAGUUUCCAAUGUUCCACCAUAUAGGAGAUAUUCUUUGUCAAAUUAAGAAAAUUUUGUUCUUAGUUUGCUAAGAAUACUAUCAGGAAUGGCUCUUCAAUUUUAUCAAAUGCAUCUGUGAAGAUAAUCAUGAGUAUUUUCUUCUUUAAUUUAUUAUUGCAGUAAAUUACAAUAAUAGAUUUGCUAAUGAGCUGUCUUGCAUUCUUGGGAUUAAACCCUAUGGAGUCGUAAUUGUCUUAAUAUACUGCUGGAUUCAAUUUGUUAAUAUUUCCUUUAGAAAUUUUGUUCCUACAGUCCCAAGUUACGUUGGCUCAGAGUUUCAUUUUCUUGUGCUCUCCUUUUCUGGUAUCAGUGUUAUUUCAAACUCUUAAAAAUAAUUUACGUAGCUUUACAUCUGUUUCUAGGUUCUGGAUACAUCUGUAAAAGGUGGAAAUUAUUCCUUGAAGAUUUGCUAAAAUUCGUCCUAAAAGCCACAUGGAACUUCUUUAGAGUUAAAUUUUCAGUUACUUCUUAGAUUUCUUUUAUCAUUGCUUUUGGGAU